RNAcentral lists this transfer RNA (71 nucleotides) under Marmota monax (woodchuck). RNAcentral describes it as "tRNA.Ala". The record is from RNAcentral. Lineage: Eukaryota; Metazoa; Chordata; Mammalia; Rodentia; Sciuridae.
GUCUGGGGCUCAGAGGUAAAGCACUUGCCUAGCAUGCGCGAGGCCCUGGGUUCAAUCCUCAGCACCACAUA